CGUAAAGCGCAUGCAGGUGGUUUGUUAAGUCAGAUGUGAAAGCCCGGGGCUCAACCUCGGAAUAGCAUUUGAAACUGGCAGACUAGAGUACUGUAGAGGGGGGUAGGAAUUUCAGGUGUAGCGGUGAAAUAGCGUAGAGAUCUGAAGGAAUACCGGUGGCGAAGGCGGCCCCCUGGACAGAUACUGACACUCAGAUGCGAAAGCGUGGGGAGCAAACAGGAUUAGAUACCCUGGUAG
RNAcentral lists this ribosomal RNA (237 nucleotides) under uncultured bacterium. RNAcentral's name for it is "partial 16S ribosomal RNA". It matches the Rfam family "Bacterial small subunit ribosomal RNA", at positions 559 to 793 of the family's 1533-position model. The record is from RNAcentral.